UACGUAGGGAGCAAGCGUUGUCCGGAAUUACUGGGCGUAAAGGGUGCGUAGGCGGCGCAGUUAGUCAGAAGUGAAAUAUCGGGGCUUAACCCCGGGGCUGCUUCUGAUACUGCUGUGCUCGAGUGCAGGAGAGGUAAGUGGAAUUCCUAGUGUAGCGGUAAAAUGCGUAGAUAUCACGCAGAACGCCGAUUGCGAAGGCAGCUUACCGGCGCUCAACUGACGCUGAGGCACGAAAGUGCGGGUAUCGAACAGG
Molecule: ribosomal RNA, 253 nt
Filed under: uncultured Eubacteriales bacterium
Lineage: Bacteria; Bacillati; Bacillota; Clostridia; Eubacteriales
Description: uncultured Clostridiales bacterium partial 16S ribosomal RNA
Rfam family: Bacterial small subunit ribosomal RNA
Source: RNAcentral